CCUACGGGUGGCUGCAGUAGGGAAUAUUGCUCAAUGGGGGAAACCCUGAAGCAGCAACGCCGCGUGGAGGAUGAAGGUUUUAGGAUUGUAAACUCCGUUUGAUAGAGAAGAGGAUGACGGUAGCUAACGAAUAAGCACCGGCUAACGCCGUGCCAGCAGCCGCGGUAAUACGGAGGGUGCAAGCGUUACUCGGAAUCACUGGGCGUAAAGAGUGCGUAGGCGGGGUAAUAAGUCAGAUGGGAAAUCCUGUAGCUUAACUACAGAACUGCAUUUGAAACUGUUACUCUGGAGGGUGGGAGAGGUAGGUGGAAUUCUUGGUGUAGUGGUUAACUCCGU
RNAcentral lists this ribosomal RNA (336 nucleotides) under uncultured bacterium. RNAcentral describes it as "partial 16S ribosomal RNA". It matches the Rfam family "Bacterial small subunit ribosomal RNA", at positions 338 to 691 of the family's 1533-position model. The record is from RNAcentral.